Molecule: small RNA, 107 nt
Filed under: Marmota monax (woodchuck)
Lineage: Eukaryota; Metazoa; Chordata; Mammalia; Rodentia; Sciuridae
Source: RNAcentral
GGUGGGCGUGGUGGCGCACACCUGUAAUCUCAGCUUCUCAGGAGGCUGAGGCAGGAGGAUUGAAAGUUUGAGGCCAGGCUUAGCAAUUGAGCGAGACCCUGUCUCAA